This 24-nucleotide non-coding RNA is filed under the name Arabidopsis thaliana (thale cress). The record is from RNAcentral. Lineage: Eukaryota; Viridiplantae; Streptophyta; Magnoliopsida; Brassicales; Brassicaceae.
UCUCGCCUAGGUUGGAUGGGCGUG